CGCGGGGUGGAGCAGUCUGGUAGCUCACCGGGCUCAUAACCCGGAGGUCGUUGGUUCAAAUCCAGCCCCCGCAACCA
This 77-nucleotide transfer RNA is filed under the name Bdellovibrionales bacterium RIFOXYB1_FULL_37_110. RNAcentral's name for it is "tRNA-Met". It matches the Rfam family "tRNA". Rfam says of the family: Transfer RNA (tRNA) molecules are approximately 80 nucleotides in length. Their secondary structure includes four short double-helical elements and three loops (D, anti-codon, and T loops). RNAcentral also lists the same sequence under 2 other names. Lineage: Bacteria; Pseudomonadati; Bdellovibrionota; Bdellovibrionia; Bdellovibrionales. The record is from RNAcentral.